Molecule: unclassified non-coding RNA, 253 nt
Filed under: uncultured Moraxellaceae bacterium
Lineage: Bacteria; Pseudomonadati; Pseudomonadota; Gammaproteobacteria; Moraxellales; Moraxellaceae
Description: contains 16S-23S intergenic spacer region
Rfam family: Bacterial small subunit ribosomal RNA
Source: RNAcentral
UACAGAGGGGGCGAGCGUUAAUCGGAUUUACUGGGCGUAAAGCGUGCGUAGGCGGCUUUUUAAGUCGGAUGUGAAAUCCCAGAGCUUAACCUGGGAAUUGCAUUCGAUACUGGGAAGCUAGAGUAUAGGAGAGGAUAGUAGAAUUCCACGUGUAGCGGUGAAAUGCGUAGAGAUCUGGAGGAAUACCGAUGGCGAAGGCAGCUAUCUGGCCUGAUACUGACGCUGAGGUACGAAAGCAUGGGGAGCAAACAGC